AUAAUUUAAAGGGCAUAGCCAAAGAAGCAAAGCAUCUUAAAAAGAAAUAUAUGUGCUAAUGUUCAAUAACAAUGACAUCAUAUUGAUAGAAUUUAUCAAUUCAAAGCAGGUGCUAUACUGGGUUCAAAUAGCUAUGGCUAAUCUGUUGGUUUCCAUGGUGAUCACUCUUUCUCUACACUUUGCCUUCGAAUUGCACCUAUUUUUGCCUUAAUUAUUCUACCACCUCCACCACCUCGUGUUUAUGUUAAGAUAACACAUUAACACCUUAGACUCACUAUAUACAGGAUAUUGGCUGCAUAUGAUCAACCGAUUGGCUCAUUCAACCAGGAAGUAGUUGAGAGAUCACAACAAAUCCUUGGACCCCAAAUAAAACCAGUAAUAGAACCACUUCACACAUUGCCAGUGUUUAUUCGAUAGCAAUGAAUAAAGUCUGUUCAUAUAGAAAAGCUGCAUAGAC
Molecule: non-coding RNA, 457 nt
Organism: Pelobates cultripes (western spadefoot toad)
Lineage: Eukaryota; Metazoa; Chordata; Amphibia; Anura; Pelobatidae
Source: the annotation of a GenBank genome assembly